Panicum virgatum (switchgrass) is the source of this 1157-nucleotide long non-coding RNA. RefSeq lists it as uncharacterized. Lineage: Eukaryota; Viridiplantae; Streptophyta; Magnoliopsida; Poales; Poaceae. The transcript is spliced from 2 exons. The record is from RefSeq and is a predicted model, not a curated record.
GUGGACACAGAGGUUGACAAGUCAUGGAAAUACUGAGAAAUGAUGGUGUUUCAGAGUGGUCAGAGUUGUACUUCAAAGCAUUGGAUCUGUUCAAGAACUCAGUUUGCCGUGCAGAGUACAAGAACAUACACGACCCAGUCAACCGCAUAGCUUGGAUCGAAUGGACGUGGACCCACGGGAAGCUAAAGUAGCAUGGGUCAUGUAUCGCAAAGCAGUUAGCUGGACUAGUGUAGUCGUUUAGUGUCUUCUAUGGUGCUUACGAACAAUGAUUGUAAUAAUGUUGUUUAGGUUAUCGCAGUAGCCUUGCUUAGCUUCCUUCACCUUGCUUUCAGUUACUGAACUUGGUUUGUUCACUUUGUUGAACUUGGUUUUAGUUAUCGCUGCAUAAGUUUGUUUACUUCAGAGAAGUUAGUUUAAGUUAUUGCUGCAUUAGUUUCUUCCUCUUGUACUAUUUCAAAUUUUGUCCAUCACCUAAAUAUAAAUGUUGUGCUUUAGUUAUUACCUGAUUCAACUUUGAUGCCUCAAGCUUCUGCAGGACUUUUAGGAGAAGAACACAACAUCCGAGGCAUACCUAAUGGCAGGUGAAGGGGCAAGUGAUGCUUCAAGUGAUUCAAGCAAUACUUACUGGGAUUUGGCAACGUGUGCUGCUGCUGUCGCAGCAUAUGCGACCGAAAAUCCAAGUGAAAUGGCCAUGGACAACCAAAUAGCAGAGACGCCCGUGCCAUUCGAAGUGCAAGAGGCUACUGGCUGACAAUGGGUGGAAGCUUCUUUGAGGGACCCAUGGAGAUGCUAUGAGAAUUUCCGUAUGAACAGCGAGACAUUUCAUAAGCUGCAUAGAAUUUUAGUUAUGAACCAUGGGCUGCAGUCUAGUCAAGAGUUCCAUUCCAUAGAGGCUGUAGGCAUGUUCCUAUGGGCAUGCGGGCAUGGCCAUUGCAUGAGGCAGGUCAAAGAUAGACUUCGUAGGGGUUUGGGAACAGUAAGCCAGAAGUUUGGGGAAGUACUACGGGCGCUGAAGUCAUUUGCAGAUAUAGUGAUUAGGCCGAAGGAUCCUACUUAUAGCAUCGUGCAUGCAAGUUUGAGGUCUUACUCACCUUUGUUCGACGGAUGCAUAGGUGCUAUAGAUGGAACACAUGUACCUGUGUGUGUCUCUCGAAGGU